GCUUGACUCAGCAAGAACAUUUCCCACAGGAAUUUGACCAUGAGUAUUCGUACUACCUAGACAGUUUUUGUGAAUCUCUGAAGGUGGUGAAAGCAAGAGAAAAAGUUUCCUGAGAACAGCCUGUGUAACUGGGUACCAAAGCAAAGGUCCAUGGAGGGUUGGAAGGGCCAGAGCUGAUGGAGAUGUGCUCUGUGAAUUGGUCCUUGCAUACAGUUUCCUCCUUUGUUUCUCUUUAUGAAUGAGCUCAGUUUUUACAACACAACUUCUUCAUUGCAAUUACA
Molecule: long non-coding RNA, 281 nt
Organism: Pseudopipra pipra
Lineage: Eukaryota; Metazoa; Chordata; Aves; Passeriformes; Pipridae
Exons: 2
Source: RefSeq, a predicted model, not a curated record